UACGAAGGGAGCUAGCGUUGUUCGGAAUCACUGGGCGUAAAGCGCACGUAGGCGGACUUGUCAGUCAGGGGUGAAAUCCCGGGGCUCAACCCAGGAAGUGCACUCGAAACUGCGUAGCUGGAGUCUCGGAGAGGGAGGCGGAAUUCUGGGUGUAGAGGUGAAAUUCGUAGAUAUCCAGAGGAACACCGGUGGCGAAGGCGGCCUCCUGGACGAGAACUGACGCUGAGACGCGAAAGCGUGGGGAGCAAACAGG
RNAcentral lists this ribosomal RNA (253 nucleotides) under uncultured bacterium. RNAcentral's name for it is "partial 16S ribosomal RNA". It matches the Rfam family "Bacterial small subunit ribosomal RNA", at positions 524 to 776 of the family's 1533-position model. The record is from RNAcentral.